UACGGGAGGCAGCAGUGGGGAAUAUUGGACAAUGGGCGCAAGCCUGAUCCAGCCAUGCCGCGUGUGUGAAGAAGGCCUUUUGGUUGUAAAGCACUUUAAGCGAGGAGGAGGCUCUCUUAGUUAAUACCUAAGAUGAGUGGACGUUACUCGCAGAAUAAGCACCGGCUAACUCUGUGCCAGCAGCCGCGGUAAUACAGAGGGUGCGAGCGUUAAUCGGAUUUUACUGGGCGUAAAGCGUGCGUAGGCGGCUUUUUUAAGUCGGAUGUGAAAUCCCCGAGCUUAACUUGGGAAUUGCAUUCGAUACUGGGAAGCUAGAGUAUGGGAGAGGAUGGUAGAAUUCCAGGUGUAGCGGUGAAAUGCGUAGAGAUCUGGAGGAAUACCGAUGGGCGAAGGGCAGCCAUCUGGGCCUAAUACUGACGCUGAGGUACGAAAGCAUGGGGAGCAAACAGGGAUUAGAUACC
Molecule: ribosomal RNA, 461 nt
Filed under: uncultured bacterium
Lineage: Bacteria
Description: bacterial SSU rRNA
Rfam family: Bacterial small subunit ribosomal RNA
Source: RNAcentral